AGCUCCAAUAGCGUAUAUUAAAGUUGUUGCAGUUAAAAAGCUCGUAGUUGGAUCUGUGGUGUGUGGUGGGCUCCGGGCACUUGUUGUCUGAGUAGCUCGCCGCUGCCAUCCUUGGGUGGAACCUGUGUGGCAUUAGGUUGUCGUGCAGGGGAUGCCCAUCGUUUACUGUGAAAAAAUUAGAGUGUUCAAAGCAGGCUUAUGCCGUUGAAUAUAUUAGCAUGGAAUAAUGAGAUAGGACUUUUUCGCUAUUUUGUUGGUUUGCGCGAAGAGGUAAUGAUUAAUAGGGACAGUUGGGGGUAUUCGUAUUCCAUUGUCAGAGGUGAAAUUCUUGGAUUUUUGGAAGACGAACUACUGCGAAAGCAUUUACCAAGGAUGUUUUCAUUAAUCAAGAACGAAAGUA
This 400-nucleotide ribosomal RNA is filed under the name phytoplankton environmental sample. RNAcentral's name for it is "partial small subunit ribosomal RNA". It matches the Rfam family "Eukaryotic small subunit ribosomal RNA", at positions 587 to 991 of the family's 1831-position model. The record is from RNAcentral.